Molecule: ribosomal RNA, 288 nt
Filed under: uncultured bacterium
Lineage: Bacteria
Description: partial 16S ribosomal RNA
Rfam family: Bacterial small subunit ribosomal RNA
Source: RNAcentral
UUUUACCAGACCCGGAAGGCGCGGGCCUUAGUGGCGGACGGGUGAGUAACGCGUGGGGAACCUGCCCCGUACCGGGGGAUAACACCUGGAAACAGGUGCUAAUACCGCAUAACAGAAGGGGACGCAUGUUCCUUUCUUGAAAACUCCGGUGGUACGGGAUGGACCCGCGUCUGAUUAGCUGGUUGGCGGGGUAACGGCCCACCAAGGCGACGAUCAGUAGCCGGCCUGAGAGGGCGGACGGCCACAUUGGGACUGAGACACGGCCCAAACUCCUACGGAAGGCAGCAG